RNAcentral lists this ribosomal RNA (497 nucleotides) under uncultured bacterium. RNAcentral describes it as "partial 16S ribosomal RNA". It matches the Rfam family "Bacterial small subunit ribosomal RNA", at positions 28 to 507 of the family's 1533-position model. The record is from RNAcentral.
GAUGAACGCUGGCGGCGUGCCUAAUACAUGCAAGUCGAGCGAACGGACGAGAAGCUUGCUUCUCUGAUGUUAGCGGCGGACGGGUGAGUAACACGUGGAUAACCUACCUAUAAGACUGGGAUAACUUCGGGAAACCGUAGCUAAUACCGGAUAAUAUUUUGAACCGCAUGGUUCAAAAGUGAAAGACGGUCUUGCUGUCACUUAUAGAUGGAUCCCCGCUGCAUUAGCUAGUUGGUAAGGUAACGGCUUACCAAGGCAACGAUGCAUAGACGACCUGAGAGGGUGAUCGGCCACACUGGAACGGAGACACGGUCCAGACUCCUACGGGAGGCAGCAGUAGGGAAUCGUACGCAAUGGGCGAAAGCAUGACGGAGCAACGCCGCGUGAGUGAUGACGGUCUUCGGAUCGUAAAACUCUGUUAUUAGGGAAGAACAGAUGUGUAAGUAACUGUGCACAUCUUGACGGUAACUAAUCAGAAAGCAACGGCUAACUACGUG